CUACGGGGGGCUGCAGUGAGGAAUCUUGCGCAAUGGGGGAAACCCUGACGCAGCGACGCCGCGUGGGUGAUGAAGGCCUUCGGGUCGUAAAGCCCUGUCGAGAGGGAAGAAUUGCAUUUAGGUUAAUAGCCUAAUUGUUUGACGGUACCUCCAAAGGAAGCACCGGCUAACUCCGUGCCAGCAGCCGCGGUAAUACGGAGGGUGCAAGCGUUGUUCGGAAUCACUGGGCGUAAAGGGCGUGUAGGCGGCUGAGUAAGUCAGGUGUGAAAUCCCUCGGCUCAACCGAGGAAGUGCAUUUGAUACUGCUCAUCUUGAGUACUGGAGAGGGAGAUGGAAUUCCCGGUGUAGAGGUGAAAUUCGUAGAUAUCGGGAGGAACACCAGUGGCGAAGGCGAUCUCCUGGACAGAUACUGACGCUAAGGCGCGAAAGCGUGGGGAGCAAACAGGAUUAGAUACCCGCGUAGUC
RNAcentral lists this ribosomal RNA (465 nucleotides) under uncultured bacterium. RNAcentral describes it as "partial 16S ribosomal RNA". It matches the Rfam family "Bacterial small subunit ribosomal RNA", at positions 339 to 795 of the family's 1533-position model. The record is from RNAcentral.